CGGUCUUUGUUUGAGGAGCUCUUCCAGCCCUUGAUUGACAAAUUGGGGGAUGGGUAUGGUGGAGAUCGAGGAGGAGUUUCCGACGAGGAGGAAUUGCAGGCCAGUUCUUGGAACCAUGUUGAGCCUGAGAGGCCUCCUCCGCCCAGGAGGGAAGACCCAGUGCCCAUGAGGAUUGACAAGAAGACCGAGCCGGUUCGGCCUCCUCCGGCUCCAACCCCAGCUCCAGUGCCUGCCCCACUGAGCUCAUCAAAUCCGCC
RNAcentral lists this long non-coding RNA (257 nucleotides) under Fragaria vesca (wild strawberry). Its description in RNAcentral is "long non-coding RNA (FVES_LNC000521)". Lineage: Eukaryota; Viridiplantae; Streptophyta; Magnoliopsida; Rosales; Rosaceae. The record is from RNAcentral.